UCAAAAAAUGGGCAAAGUAGUCAU
This 24-nucleotide microRNA is filed under the name Gossypium raimondii (Peruvian cotton). Its description in RNAcentral is "gra-miR8744". The record is from miRBase by way of RNAcentral. Lineage: Eukaryota; Viridiplantae; Streptophyta; Magnoliopsida; Malvales; Malvaceae.